CUGGAUUCAGCGGCGGACGGAUGAGUAAUGCCUAGGAAUCUGCCUGGUAGUGGGGGACAACGUUUCGAAAGGAACGCUAAUACCGCAUACGUCCUACGGGAGAAAGCAGGGGACCUUCGGGCCUUGCGCUAUCAGAUGAGCCUAGGUCGGAUUACCUUGUUGGUGAGGUAAUGGCUCACCAAGGCGACCAUCCGUAACUGGUCUGAGAGGAUGAACAGGCACACUGGAACUGACACACGGUCCAGACUCCUACGGGAGGAAGCAGUGGGGAAUAUUGGACAAUGAACCAAAGCCUGAUCCAGCCAUGCCGCGUGAGUAAAGAAGGUCUUCGGAUUGUAAAUCACUUUACGUUGGGAGGAAGGGUUGUAGAUUAAUACUCUGCAAUUUUGACGUUCCCGACUGAAUAAGCCCCGGCUAACUCUGUGCCAGCAGCCGCGGGAAUACAGAGGGGUGCAAGCGUUAAUCGGGAAUUACUGGGCGUAAAGCGCGCGUAGGUGGCUUGUUAAGUUGGAUGUCAAAGCCCCGGGUCAACCUGGGAACUGCAUCGAAAACUGGCAAGCUAAAGUACGGUAGAGGAGGGCGGAAUUAUCCUGUGUAGCGUCCACGUGCAGAGAUAUAAGGGAGGAACACCUGGGGAGGAACGCGACCACCUGAACUGAUUUUUGUCGCUUGAGGUGCGACGCCGAGGGCGAGAAAGCGGGAUAAGAUACCCCGGAUAGUCCACCCCGGAACCCCACGCCACUAACCGUUAGGAUCCCUUGAGGAUUUUAGUUGCCCCCCCUUUACGCAUUAAGUU
Molecule: ribosomal RNA, 796 nt
Filed under: Pseudomonas sp.
Lineage: Bacteria; Pseudomonadati; Pseudomonadota; Gammaproteobacteria; Pseudomonadales; Pseudomonadaceae
Description: bacterial SSU rRNA
Rfam family: Bacterial small subunit ribosomal RNA
Source: RNAcentral